Molecule: transfer RNA, 65 nt
Filed under: Dipodomys ordii (Ord's kangaroo rat)
Lineage: Eukaryota; Metazoa; Chordata; Mammalia; Rodentia; Heteromyidae
Rfam family: tRNA
About the family: Transfer RNA (tRNA) molecules are approximately 80 nucleotides in length. Their secondary structure includes four short double-helical elements and three loops (D, anti-codon, and T loops).
Source: Rfam by way of RNAcentral
GGUGGCUCAGUGGUAGAGUUCUUGCCUUGCAUGUAUGAAGCCCUGGGUUCGAUUCCUCAGCACCA